GGUUAAGCGACUAAGCGUACACGGUGGAUGCCCUGGCAGUCAGAGGCGAUGAAGGACGUGCUAAUCUGCGAUAAGCGUCGGUAAGGUGAUAUGAACCGUUAUAACCGGCGAUUUCCGAAUGGGGAAACCCAGUGUGUUUCGACACACUAUCAUUAACUGAAUCCAUAGGUUAAUGAGGCGAACCGGGGGAACUGAAACAUCUAAGUACCCCGAGGAAAAGAAAUCAACCGAGAUUCCCCCAGUAGCGGCGAGCGAACGGGGAGCAGCCCAGAGCCUGAAUCAGUGUGUGUGUUAGUGGAAGCGUCUGGAAAGGCGCGCGAUACAGGGUGACAGCCCCGUACACAAAAAUGCACAUAUUGUGAGCUCGAUGAGUAGGGCGGGACACGUGGUAUCCUGUCUGAAUAUGGGGGGACCAUCCUCCAAGGCUAAAUACUCCUGACUGACCGAUAGUGAACCAGUACCGUGAGGGAAAGGCGAAAAGAACCCCGGCGAGGGGAGUGAAAAAGAACCUGAAACCGUGUACGUACAAGCAGUGGGAGCACGCUUAGGCGUGUGACUGCGUACCUUUUGUAUAAUGGGUCAGCGACUUAUAUUCUGUAGCAAGGUUAACCGAAUAGGGGAGCCGAAGGGAAACCGAGUCUUAACUGGGCGUUAAGUUGCAGGGUAUAGACCCGAAACCCGGUGAUCUAGCCAUGGGCAGGUUGAAGGUUGGGUAACACUAACUGGAGGACCGAACCGACUAAUGUUGAAAAAUUAGCGGAUGACUUGUGGCUGGGGGUGAAAGGCCAAUCAAACCGGGAGAUAGCUGGUUCUCCCCGAAAGCUAUUUAGGUAGCGCCUCGUGAAUUCAUCUCCGGGGGUAGAGCACUGUUUCGGCAAGGGGGUCAUCCCGACUUACCAACCCGAUGCAAACUGCGAAUACCGGAGAAUGUUAUCACGGGAGACACACGGCGGGUGCUAACGUCCGUCGUGAAGAGGGAAACAACCCAGACCGCCAGCUAAGGUCCCAAAGUCAUGGUUAAGUGGGAAACGAUGUGGGAAGGCCCAGACAGCCAGGAUGUUGGCUUAGAAGCAGCCAUCAUUUAAAGAAAGCGUAAUAGCUCACUGGUCGAGUCGGCCUGCGCGGAAGAUGUAACGGGGCUAAACCAUGCACCGAAGCUGCGGCAGCGACGCUGAUGCGUUGUUGGGUAGGGGAGCGUUCUGUAAGCCUGCGAAGGUGUACUGUGAGGUAUGCUGGAGGUAUCAGAAGUGCGAAUGCUGACAUAAGUAACGAUAAAGCGGGUGAAAAGCCCGCUCGCCGGAAGACCAAGGGUUCCUGUCCAACGUUAAUCGGGGCAGGGUGAGUCGACCCCUAAGGCGAGGCCGAAAGGCGUAGUCGAUGGGAAACAGGUUAAUAUUCCUGUACUUGGUGUUACUGCGAAGGGGGGACGGAGAAGGCUAUGUUGGCCGGGCGACGGUUGUCCCGGUUUAAGCGUGUAGGCUGGUUUUCCAGGCAAAUCCGGAAAAUCAAGGCUGAGGCGUGAUGACGAGGCACUACGGUGCUGAAGUAACAAAUGCCCUGCUUCCAGGAAAAGCCUCUAAGCAUCAGGUAACAUCAAAUCGUACCCCAAACCGACACAGGUGGUCAGGUAGAGAAUACCAAGGCGCUUGAGAGAACUCGGGUGAAGGAACUAGGCAAAAUGGUGCCGUAACUUCGGGAGAAGGCACGCUGAUAUGUAGGUGAAGCGACUUGCUCGUGGAGCUGAAAUCAGUCGAAGAUACCAGCUGGCUGCAACUGUUUAUUAAAAACACAGCACUGUGCAAACACGAAAGUGGACGUAUACGGUGUGACGCCUGCCCGGUGCCGGAAGGUUAAUUGAUGGGGUUAGCGGUAACGCGAAGCUCUUGAUCGAAGCCCCGGUAAACGGCGGCCGUAACUAUAACGGUCCUAAGGUAGCGAAAUUCCUUGUCGGGUAAGUUCCGACCUGCACGAAUGGCGUAAUGAUGGCCAGGCUGUCUCCACCCGAGACUCAGUGAAAUUGAACUCGCUGUGAAGAUGCAGUGUACCCGCGGCAAGACGGAAAGACCCCGUGAACCUUUACUAUAGCUUGACACUGAACAUUGAGCCUUGAUGUGUAGGAUAGGUGGGAGGCUUAGAAGUGUGGACGCCAGUCUGCAUGGAGCCGACCUUGAAAUACCACCCUUUAAUGUUUGAUGUUCUAACGUUGGCCCCUAAUCGGGGUUGCGGACAGUGUCUGGUGGGUAGUUUGACUGGGGCGGUCUCCUCCUAAAGAGUAACGGAGGAGCACGAAGGUUGGCUAAUCCUGGUCGGACAUCAGGAGGUUAGUGCAAUGGCAUAAGCCAGCUUGACUGCGAGCGUGACGGCGCGAGCAGGUGCGAAAGCAGGUCAUAGUGAUCCGGUGGUUCUGAAUGGAAGGGCCAUCGCUCAACGGAUAAAAGGUACUCCGGGGAUAACAGGCUGAUACCGCCCAAGAGUUCAUAUCGACGGCGGUGUUUGGCACCUCGAUGUCGGCUCAUCACAUCCUGGGGCUGAAGUAGGUCCCAAGGGUAUGGCUGUUCGCCAUUUAAAGUGGUACGCGAGCUGGGUUUAGAACGUCGUGAGACAGUUCGGUCCCUAUCUGCCGUGGGCGCUGGAGAACUGAGGGGGGCUGCUCCUAGUACGAGAGGACCGGAGUGGACGCAUCACUGGUGUUCGGGUUGUCAUGCCAAUGGCACUGCCCGGUAGCUAAAUGCGGAAGAGAUAAGUGCUGAAAGCAUCUAAGCACGAAACUUGCCCCGAGAUGAGUUCUCCCUGACCCUUUAAGGGUCCUGAAGGAACGUUGAAGACGACGACGUUGAUAGGCCGGGUGUGUAAGCGCAGCGAUGCGUUGAGCUAACCGGUACUAAUGAACCGUGAGGCUUAACCUU
Molecule: ribosomal RNA, 2906 nt
Filed under: Escherichia coli
Lineage: Bacteria; Pseudomonadati; Pseudomonadota; Gammaproteobacteria; Enterobacterales; Enterobacteriaceae
Description: 23S ribosomal RNA
Rfam family: Bacterial large subunit ribosomal RNA
Source: RNAcentral